CCCUUAGAUGUUCUGGGCUGCACGCGCGCUACACUGUCGGAUUCAGCGAGUCAUAUCCUUAACCGAAAGGUUUGGGUAAUCUUUUGAAAGUCCGACGUGAUGGGGAUUGAUCAUUGCAAUUAUUGAUCAUGAACGAGGAAUUCCUAGUAAGCGCGAGUCAUCAGCUCGCGUUGAUUACGUCCCUGCCCUCUGUACACACCGCCCGUCGCUACUACCGAUUGAAUGGUUUAGUGAGAUCUUCGGAUUGGCGCCUACGCGGCUUCUCUGAGGCCACGCUGGAUGCCGAAAAGUUGCUCAAACUGUAUCAUUUAGAGGAAGUAAAAGUCGUAACA
RNAcentral lists this ribosomal RNA (332 nucleotides) under uncultured eukaryote. Its description in RNAcentral is "partial 18S ribosomal RNA". It matches the Rfam family "Eukaryotic small subunit ribosomal RNA", at positions 1470 to 1796 of the family's 1831-position model. The record is from RNAcentral.